UAAAAGUAGAAGUACUCAGAGUCUAAAUGUUCCUCAAGUAAAAGUAGAAAAGUAUUAUCAUCAAAAUAUAGUUAAAGUACCAAAAGAUGACCACAUGCUUUUGGCCGUGAAAUUAUUGUACAGGUACUGAUGAUCACUGAAAAUAAUCAGACAGGAAGCUCUGGAGUCAGAUGAUUGACAGGUCGUGUGAUGAUUGACAGGUCGUUAAAAGAGCUAACUUCUUACCCUUUUUUACAUCAGAUGUUUUGUGUACAUAGAUGAAAUAUAAUCUGAACAUACAAAUCUAUAUAUUCUGUACGGCUGAGGGUAUGUUGAUAACGUGCUGUUUUCUGUGGCCAAUCGUCGCUGUCAGAUCCUGCGUGGUCCCGCCCCUCCUCGGCUCUGAUUGGCCGAGGGGUUUAUUGAUGUAAAGGGGCGGGGCCUGCUUUUAUUUUUCUGAGACAGAGUUCUAUGUGUCAUUUACUGGAGAAAAAUAUUAAAAGAAAAGCUAUUUUUUAUGGA
Trematomus bernacchii (emerald rockcod) is the source of this 501-nucleotide long non-coding RNA. RefSeq lists it as uncharacterized. The record is from RefSeq and is a predicted model, not a curated record. The transcript is spliced from 2 exons. Lineage: Eukaryota; Metazoa; Chordata; Actinopteri; Perciformes; Nototheniidae.